AUGUUUGGAUCUAUGCACAAAUUUCACAAGUUUGGAUGCAUCAUAGAACUUGUGGUGAUUUUGUUUAGAUUGCAGGAAGUUGGAACACAAGUAUUGAGAUUGUUCACUAAAUUCAAAUCAUUCGCCUAAAAUUGUUUGCCUGAAGUUCACCUGAAACUUGUUGGCAUUAUUUUUAUUCUAGGAUAAGAUGAACCAGCUCGUUAUUUGUUUGGUGAUUAUACCGGAUACUUGUUCUUUUU
This 239-nucleotide long non-coding RNA is filed under the name Hordeum vulgare. RNAcentral describes it as "long non-coding RNA (HVUL_LNC008524)". The record is from RNAcentral. Lineage: Eukaryota; Viridiplantae; Streptophyta; Magnoliopsida; Poales; Poaceae.